GUCCAGACUCCUACGGGAGGCAGCAGUGGGGAAUAUUGCACAAUGGGGGAAACCCUGAUGCAGCGACGCCGCGUGAGCGAUGAAGUAUUUCGGUAUGUAAAGCUCUAUCAGCAGGGAAGAAGAUGACGGUACCUGACUAAGAAGCCCCGGCUAACUACGUGCCAGCAGCCGCGGUAAUACGUAGGGGGCAAGCGUUAUCCGGAUUUACUGGGUGUAAAGGGAGCGUAGACGGCGAUGCAAGCCAGAUGUGAAAGCCCGGGGCCCAACCCCGGGACUGCUCUGGGAACUGUGCGGCUGGAGUGCGGGAGGGGCAGGCGGAAUUCCUGGUGUAGCGGUGAAAUGCGUAGAUAUCAGGGGGAACACCGGCGGCGAAGGCGGCCUGCUGGACCGCGACUGACGUUGAGGCUCGAAAGCGUGGGGAGCAAACAGGAUUAGAUACCCGGGUA
Molecule: ribosomal RNA, 446 nt
Filed under: uncultured bacterium
Lineage: Bacteria
Description: bacterial SSU rRNA
Rfam family: Bacterial small subunit ribosomal RNA
Source: RNAcentral